Molecule: ribosomal RNA, 496 nt
Filed under: uncultured bacterium
Lineage: Bacteria
Description: partial 16S ribosomal RNA
Rfam family: Bacterial small subunit ribosomal RNA
Source: RNAcentral
AUUGAACGCUGGCGGAAUGCUUUACACAUGCAAGUCGAACGGUAGAGGGGGCAACCCCUCGAGAGUGGCGAACGGGUGAGUAAUAUAUCGGAACGUGCCCAGUCGUGGGGGAUAACGUAGCGAAAGUUACGCUAAUACCGCAUACGAUCUAAGGAUGAAAGCGGGGGACCGUAAGGCCUCGCGCGAUUGGAGCGGCCGAUAUCAGAUUAGGUAGUUGGUGAGGUAAAGGCUCCCCAAGCCAACGAUCUGUAGCUGGCCUGAGAGGACGACCAGCCAAACUGGAAAUGGGACACAGGCCAGACUCCUACGGGAGGCAGCAGUGGGGAAUUUUGGACAAUGGACGCAAGUCUGAUCCAGCCAUUCCGCGUGCAGGAUGAAGGCCCUCGGGUUGUAAACUGCUUUUGUACGGAACGAAAAGGUCUCUCCUAAUACGAGGGGCUCAUGACGGUACCGUAAGAAUAAGCACCGGCUAACUACGUGCCAGCCGCCGCGGUAA